ACUGCCUGCAGGCAACUUUGUGCAAAGAGUCGAGCUAGCUCUUCUUUCUAAGAUUCUUUCUUCCUUUAUUCCUGUAAAGAGACAAAACGGUUAGAAAAGAGAACAAUCGACCAGUUUUUACAAACUUCCUACUCAUCUUCCGGCGAGAUUACGGCUCUUUCUUGGCUAUCGACAAAACAAGGGCAAUGAGGAAAGUGGAACUGACCAAACAUGGAAGACCUGCCAUCCUUCUGAACGCAAGAGAAGGCGGAAGUGUCAACAUUCGCUUCAAAUGCGAACGGACGGAAAGAAAAACGAGAAGCACGUUUUACGGCUAAUAUAAGAAGUAAUUAAUAAAUCGUUUGGUAAUCUCAUA
Long non-coding RNA from Argiope bruennichi, 355 nucleotides. RefSeq lists it as uncharacterized. NCBI's taxonomy places the organism in Eukaryota, Metazoa, Arthropoda, Arachnida, Araneae, Araneidae. The transcript is spliced from 2 exons. The record is from RefSeq and is a predicted model, not a curated record.